AUCAUAACCGUUCAGGUAACCGCUGCAUCGCAUGCGAUGUAGAGGAAAGUCCAUGCUCGCACAGGCUGAGAUGCUUGUAGUGUUCGUGCCUAGCGAAGUCAUAAGCUAGGGUAGUCUGGUUCUUAGAACUGGGCUAACGGCAAGGUAAGCACCUACGUUCAUCAUGAAUAUGGUGUGAUGCCUUUGAAAGUGCCACAGUGACGUAGUCCGUUUGGAAACAGACGGAGUGGAACGAGGUAAACCCCUCGAGCGAGAAACCCAAAAAUUGGUAGGGGAACCUUCUUGAAGGAAAUGAACGGAGAGAAGGACGGAAGUUUUACUUCUGUAGACAGAUGGUUACCACCGGAGUACGAGGUUCAUCACCGUUUGUAGUACGAAGGAACAGAACAUGGCUUAUCGAACGGGAAUGAGA
RNAcentral lists this RNase P RNA (412 nucleotides) under Halalkalibacterium halodurans C-125. Its description in RNAcentral is "Bacillus halodurans C-125 Bacterial RNase P class B". It matches the Rfam family "Bacterial RNase P class B". From Rfam's summary of the family: Ribonuclease P (RNase P) is a ubiquitous endoribonuclease, found in archaea, bacteria and eukarya as well as chloroplasts and mitochondria. Its best characterised activity is the generation of mature 5'-ends of tRNAs by cleaving the 5'-leader elements of precursor-tRNAs. Cellular RNase Ps are ribonucleoproteins. Lineage: Bacteria; Bacillati; Bacillota; Bacilli; Caryophanales; Bacillaceae. The record is from Rfam by way of RNAcentral.